AUUGAACGCUGGCGGCAUGCCUUACACAUGCAAGUCGAACGGCAGCACGGGUGCUUGCACCUGGUGGCGAGUGGCGAACGGGUGAGUAAUACAUCGGAACGUACCUUAUCGUGGGGGAUAACGCAGCGAAAGCUGUGCUAAUACCGCAUACGCCCUGAGGGGGAAAGCGGGGGAUCGCAAGACCUCGCGCGAUUAGAGCGGCCGAUGCCUGAUUAGCUUGUUGGUGGGGUAAAAGCCCACCAAGGCGGCGAUCAGUAGCUGGUCUGAGAGGACGAUCAGCCACACUGGAGCUGAGACACGGCCCAGACUCCUACGGGAGGCAGCAGUGGGGAAUUGUGGACAAUGGGGGCAACCCUGAUCCAGCAAUGCCGCGUGAGUGAAGAAGGCCUUCGGGUUGUAAAGCUCUUUUGUCAGGGAAGAAACACCGGCUCUAACACAGUCCGGGAAUGACGGUACCUGAAGAAUAAGCACCGGCUAACUACGUGCCAGCCGCCGCAGUAA
This 501-nucleotide ribosomal RNA is filed under the name uncultured bacterium. RNAcentral's name for it is "partial 16S ribosomal RNA". It matches the Rfam family "Bacterial small subunit ribosomal RNA", at positions 29 to 523 of the family's 1533-position model. The record is from RNAcentral.